AGGGAAAAGCUUUUCUAUUUGCAGAAUCCAGCCUUCUGUGGCCAAGGGAUCGAGUCCACAUUCGAAGUAGGGUGGGUUUAAUCUUCUAAACUCGACAAUGUUAUGGGAGAUAGAACGAUCACGGCAUUAGUCUUGCACUGGGGGAUGCUGGCAGUGGAUGACUUGGUUUUGUCCUAUUGCUGCAAUUUGACCUUGGAUGGCUCAAAAGAGCUCGGUAAACUCAACCUUGGUCAGAGGACCUAGGUUUCGGGUCUUUCGGUUCGUUCUACGAAUGGUCUUCCUAGAGUCAUUAGUCCUACAAAAGAAAAGGGAGACAAUGACUUGGUGGACUAGUUUUCAAAAAAGGAAAUUUCUUAAGUAUCUAGAGUAGUUUUCCCUAUACCAAAGCCUCAAUGUAAGGGA
RNAcentral lists this long non-coding RNA (402 nucleotides) under Carica papaya (papaya). Its description in RNAcentral is "long non-coding RNA (CPAP_LNC002119)". The record is from RNAcentral. Lineage: Eukaryota; Viridiplantae; Streptophyta; Magnoliopsida; Brassicales; Caricaceae.